CCUACGGGAGGCAGCAGUGAGGAAUAUUGGACAAUGGGCGCAAGCCUGAUCCAGCCAUGCCGCGUGCAGGAAGACGGUCCUAUGGAUUGUAAACUGCUUUUAUACAGGAAGAAACACCUCUACGUGUAGAGACUUGACGGUACUGUAUGAAUAAGCAUCGGCUAACUCCGUGCCAGCAGCCGCGGUAAUACGGAGGAUGCAAGCGUUAUCCGGAAUCAUUGGGUUUAAAGGGUCCGUAGGCGGUUUAAUAAGUCAGUGGUGAAAGCCCAUCGCUCAACGAUGGAACGGCCAUUGAUACUGUUAAACUUGAAUUAUUAGGAAGUAACUAGAAUAUGUAGUGUAGCGGUGAAAUGCUUAGAGAUUACAUGGAAUACCAAUUGCGAAGGCAGGUUACUACUAAUAUAUUGACGCUGAUGGACGAAAGCGUGGGGAGCGAACAGGAUUAGAUACCCUGGUAGUCCACGCCGUAAACGAUGGAUACUAGCUGUUCGGAGCAAUCUGAGUGGCUAAGCGAAAGUGAUAAGUAUCCCGCCUGGGGAGUACGUUCGCAAGAUGAAACUCAAAUGAAUUGACCGG
Molecule: ribosomal RNA, 576 nt
Filed under: uncultured bacterium
Lineage: Bacteria
Description: bacterial SSU rRNA
Rfam family: Bacterial small subunit ribosomal RNA
Source: RNAcentral